This 191-nucleotide ribosomal RNA is filed under the name uncultured Actinomycetales bacterium. RNAcentral describes it as "partial 16S ribosomal RNA". It matches the Rfam family "Bacterial small subunit ribosomal RNA", at positions 143 to 334 of the family's 1533-position model. Lineage: Bacteria; Bacillati; Actinomycetota; Actinomycetes; Actinomycetales. The record is from RNAcentral.
AUAAGCCGUAGGGAAACGUGGGUCUAAUACCGGAUAGGACGAUGGUUUGGAUGCCAUUGUGGAAAGUUUUUUCGGUGUGGGAUGAGCUCGCGGCCUAUCAGCUUGUUGGUGGGGUAAUGGCCUACCAAGGCGUCGACGGGUAGCCGGCCUGAGAGGGUGUACGGCCACAUUGGGACUGAGAUACGGCCCAG